This 404-nucleotide ribosomal RNA is filed under the name uncultured bacterium. Its description in RNAcentral is "partial 16S ribosomal RNA". It matches the Rfam family "Bacterial small subunit ribosomal RNA", at positions 355 to 776 of the family's 1533-position model. RNAcentral also lists the same sequence under 1 other name. The record is from RNAcentral.
UGGGGAAUAUUGGACAAUGGGCGAAAGCCUGAUCCAGCAAUGCCGCGUGAGUGAUGAAGGCCUUAGGGUUGUAAAGCUCUUUUACCCGGGAUGAUAAUGACAGUACCGGGAGAAUAAGCUCCGGCUAACUCCGUGCCAGCAGCCGCGGUAAUACGGAGGGAGCUAGCGUUGUUCGGAAUUACUGGGCGUAAAGCGCGCGUAGGCGGUUACUCAAGUCAGAGGUGAAAGCCCGGGGCUCAACCCCGGAACUGCCUUUGAAACUAGGUAACUAGAAUCUUGGAGAGGUCAGUGGAAUUCCGAGUGUAGAGGUGAAAUUCGUAGAUAUUCGGAAGAACACCAGUGGCGAAGGCGACUGACUGGACAAGUAUUGACGCUGAGGUGCGAAAGCGUGGGGAGCAAACAGG